AGCGAACGCUGGCGGCAGGCUUAACACAUGCAAGUCGAGCGGGCCUAGCAAUAUGUCAGCGGCAGACGGGUGAGUAACGCGUGGGAACGUACCUUUUGGUUCGGAACAACACAGGGAAACUUGUGCUAAUACCGGAUAAGCCCUUACGGGGAAAGAUUUAUCGCCGAAAGAUCGGCCCGCGUCUGAUUAGCUAGUUGGUGAGGGAAUGGCCCACCAAGGCGACGAUCAGUAGCUGGGCUGAGAGGAUGCUCAGCCACAUUGGGACUGAGACCCGGCCCGAACUCCAACGGGAGGCAGCGAUGCGGAAGAUUGGACGAUGGGCGCAGGCCUGAUCCAGCCAUGCCGCGUGAGUGAUGAAGGCCCUAGCGUGGUAAAGCUCUGUGGUGCGGGAAGAUAAUGACGGUACCGCAAGAAUAAGCCCCGGCUAACUUCGUGCCAGCCGCCGCCGUAA
RNAcentral lists this ribosomal RNA (451 nucleotides) under uncultured bacterium. RNAcentral's name for it is "partial 16S ribosomal RNA". It matches the Rfam family "Bacterial small subunit ribosomal RNA", at positions 29 to 523 of the family's 1533-position model. The record is from RNAcentral.